AUGGCCUCUGCCAGCAACAGCCUGGCUGUGACCGUCUGGCGUGGCCGGGCAGUGCUGUGCCUGCUGUGCAUCCCUACCCUGGCUGCAGCAGGGCUGGAGGCUCUGCUGGGCGCACGGCCGUGCUGCAGGGACCACAGGGACACUGCGUGGUUGCAGCCCCAUGCGUUGGACUGCCGGUGCGGUUCUCUGCUUGGCUUUAGCAGGACUCAGCUCUCUAUGGGAAGGGAAAACCCCGAUCAGCUGCAGCUUGAGUGGAUCUGCCUCAGAAACUCAUUUUCUCCUGAGCUCUCUGCUGAGAAGUCAUGGCAGUGCUUUCUGGAUGGUGCUUCACUUCUAAACCUGUGUGGAUCCUGCAGGGUAACGGAGUGUGUGCUCAUUCCUCAGCCUAGCUCCUUCGUCCCUCUCCCAUCCCAGGCGCUCCUUUGCCCCCCUCCUGCUCUGCCCCAUUGCUGUGUGUGACUGCAGUGAUGUUCCCUUUGGGCUCUGUGCUGCUGGAUGGGGUAGAGCCACAGAGGUUAAAUGCAGCUCUUUGUCAACUGCUGUUAUUGUUGUUCUUUUUGGUCUUAAAAUCAUGUAAGCAAGGCAUUACUGUGGUAUUUGUUACCAAACAUCGGGCUCAGUGCUGUGCAGCAGCUGAAGAUGAGCAGUGGCACUGGGGCAGCCCAGCGUGCCAGCACUGCGUUGUGCAGAACGAGCGUCAGCUGGAGAGCAGCAGGAGCUCUGCAGGAAUGCAGCAGUGCAGCAAUUUAUGCACUUAGCUGAGGCAGUGCAGCAGGAAUGGUCACGUUAAAAUCAUGCAUCCUGUCAUUACCUUUUCCUUUCAUUACCUUUUUUACCAUUACCAGUUCAUUACCUUUUCCUUUACUUGCCUAUUUACUGAGGAUCGGCCUGGAGCUGAUGCUGCAUGCAGCUGUGGGGUGUCAGCACUGCGUCCCUGCUAUGUUACAUGCAGAGCAGCAUGUGCCCUCAGCGGCUGUGCCACCACACGGCUCUGGGUGAGCAGAGGUGUGAGGUGGAGGAGGGAGAUGAUUGGAGUUUGUAUUACACAGCAUGCUUGUCGGAAGAGAAGUGAUCUGUAUUUAACAACAGCAGUGCAGUAAUAACCUACAAUUACCUCCGAGCGGUGCGGCGGGGGCGGCUCUGCUGCUGGAGGAGGCUGGCAUGGCAUGGAAUAGGAUGGCAUAGCAUGGCGUGUCUCUCACGAUGCGCAGAGCAUGGCACAGGGGCUGCUGGGCUGUGGGAGUGGUUCCUGUCUGCCUGGAGCUGGGAAGCCCCAUGCUAUGGCUGUGCCCUCCCCAGGGCAGAGCGGAGGAUCACUCCCCUGCUGUCCUGGCCACACGCUGUGCAAUGCACUGCAGGGUCCAUUUGCCCUUCUUGGUCACCAGGGUAUCGGACUGGUCUGCCUGUUGGCCACUGGCACCGGCAGGUCCUUCUCUGCAAAGCUCUUUUCCAGCAGCUC
RNAcentral lists this long non-coding RNA (1459 nucleotides) under Phasianus colchicus (ring-necked pheasant). RNAcentral describes it as "lncRNA (ENSPCLG00000005633.1)". The record is from RNAcentral. Lineage: Eukaryota; Metazoa; Chordata; Aves; Galliformes; Phasianidae.